GGUCGCUUAGUGUAGUGGUUAUCACGUCUGCUUUACACGCAGAAGGUCGUGGGAUCGACCCCCACAGUGACCA
This 73-nucleotide transfer RNA is filed under the name Chytriomyces sp. MP71. Its description in RNAcentral is "tRNA-Val". It matches the Rfam family "tRNA". Rfam says of the family: Transfer RNA (tRNA) molecules are approximately 80 nucleotides in length. The record is from RNAcentral. Lineage: Eukaryota; Fungi; Chytridiomycota; Chytridiomycetes; Chytridiales; Chytriomycetaceae.